Molecule: long non-coding RNA, 1151 nt
Organism: Cynoglossus semilaevis (tongue sole)
Lineage: Eukaryota; Metazoa; Chordata; Actinopteri; Pleuronectiformes; Cynoglossidae
Exons: 3
Source: RefSeq, a predicted model, not a curated record
UGAUGAUGAUGAUGAUGAUGAUGAUGAAGAAGUUUCAGACAUUUCUGCAGAUUCAUCCCAGCUCAUGUAGCCAAGCAACGUGUGGUGUAACCGAGGAAUGUGUCACCUGAUAAACGAUGGGACAGAGGGACAGACGGUCAGACAGUCACGGCUGCUUCUCCGGAGCAUCCUGUCAACAGCGCCCCACCACUUCCUUCCCUCCAAAGAUAAGCUUAUCGUCAUCACACCGCUGGAAAAAUCCUGAGCUGUCUCUGCUGGACAUGAAAGUCAAGUGCAGUUUCCUCAUGCUAUUCAAUAAAGGUCACAUCAUCACUCAGGCUGAGGAUGACUGGAAUAAUGAGCUCUGAAGAAAACGGGAAAAAAAGUCUUUAAUUCCAAAGGUGCUCUGCUGCUUGCAGCCCCCCCUGCAGCCCUACAACGCCACCAAGUGUUUCAAAGCUGAAUGCAGUGACUUCAGAUGUGGAUUUAUGAAAAUGCCUUCUGUCCUCUUAAUUACAAAGUUAUUAUCUUGUUUAUUCAUCUUAAAUUGACUACUACUUUACUAUACUUUGGUUUAACUGUUUCAGAUUAUUUUAGGGCAGAUGAUAAAUUGGAUUUACUUAUGUAUUUUUGUAGCAGCUGUUAUCAAAAUUGUAUAUAAUUCUAUGCUUCUAACAAUGGGAGAUAACAGGUGUGUGAAGUGCAGACUGGAUAAAGGUCAGGAGGGAAGAUACAGUGAUAAUAAUUUCAAAAUAAUAACCUAGAGUCAUGACCAUCCUCUGUGUGCCAUGUGAUAACAGGAGGGAUAGUGGAUUCAAAGAGUUUAAAGCAACAGCUCUGGUUUCUCCAGUGACAUCUUGAAAUAAUUAUUUUCCUUUGCCCUACAAAAUGAAUUGUAAGCGUCUUAACAAAUGAACACACACACGUUUCCAGAUUUGCCGUCAGAAAGAAAGGCCUUUAUUUAAAGAGUAAAAAGGCACAGGACACUCCUCCCUUUUUCUUUCACUGCUGUGAAGUCUUCCAACCUCCAAGUAAAUCAUAGACAUUUGGAAAACAUCGUCAAAUGUUUCAUCUAACACAACCUUUCACACCAAGCAACAAAUCUUAAAAAUAAAAGUCAUUUAAAACAACAUGUGAGACGUUCUGAGAACACAAAAGAAUACCCCCCCCCC